AUGGUAUACCAAGAAUAGUGGUUUGUUAUUUACUGCAUUUUUUUUGCCUGUUGCACAACACUUCCUUGAUUGCCUGUUUUGAAAUCUGUUACCUUUCUUGCACUUUUCUGUGUAUUUGUAGUGUUGUGCCAUUCCACAUAACCAGCUUUUUAUUUUCAUUGUCUGAUAUUUAUCAAAACUCAGAAGUACAUUGCUGCUGAUGUAUGUACACAUUUAUCUGAUGUAUAUACACAUUUAUCUGUCUGUGCAGGGCCUUCAGCGGGCUCCAGGUGGUACUUUCUACGUCUUCAGCCCUGAGAUCCUGCAGAUUGUGAGGGAGACCUACCCUAGCGGCGACGACGUCGCAUGGAUGCUGACGAACCGUAACAACAGGCCUACCAAGGAGGUGGGCGUGGAUGACCUGUUCGAGGACAAGGGCAAGAACUAGGUCACGCCCACCUCCAGGUAGUGCAGUAUACAUGAUACAAAGCAUGUUACAAAGCAAAAUAAAGUUUGGAAACUUGAACUUGUGUAUUCUGUCCUCUUUCAUAGUAUGUACUCAACCAUGUACAAUAGGUGAUAGAGAAAUUUGAGGACGAUUAACGAUACAAUGCCAGUCACUUGAGUUUGUUCCACAAACCUGCUCCCGAUGACUUUACUUCAUGAGAAAGCUCUACAUAAAAAUGAAAAACAUAAGUCCAAUGGAAUAGAUAUGAUAUGGACAGUCAUGUUCCUAGAUAUAACAUAGUGCUAAAUCAAAACAAUCAAUCAUACAUAUGUACAAAAGGGCAUUGAAAAAAUGGAUAUGACAUACACAGUACAAAAAAGAUUGUUAGAGACCUUCGCGAGAAUUGAUUCCAUCAUCAACACCAGGAAGGGCACCGCUGGGCUCGAUGACAACCAGAUACCUCUUUCAGAGACGCGGACGAAGUCGACAAAGUCUGAGCUGCACAGCAAAAACAUCUCGAAUGCAUACAAGAUCCCCCGGACAUGGCGAUGUACUCCAUUACAAAAUACGCAACAAAGAUUGCCCACCAACUUCCUUACUAUAUAACGGUAAGGGGGAGCAACAGUGUGGAGGGGCUUCACAAAUUCCUGCCGGCGAUGAUUCCAGGGCCCCACUGUGCAGCCAUUCGUUCAACGUCUACCUGUUGAGUGGCAUCGCCAGGUGGAACACCAACAGGGAGACCAACUCUGUGCUUGGGAAGAAGGGCCGGAAGAACACCAUCUACACCAACCCUCUCAUCCACAGGUUGAAUCGGUCCAUGAGCUUGGGUUCGAUGCGAGUAUUGCUAAUGCUAUGCCUAUCGUCGCCUUUCACCGGCUUGCAAAGCCAUCACCCAUCAUCAAUAUAUUCUCUAAAGUAAACUUGAUAGCUUUCAAGCAGUUAUCGACGAAAAGUUUGGUGACGGUGGCCCCGUGAUGCUUGCCUAUGACAAUAUAAAUAUUCUCUAGGCUGUCCGUCACAUUAGAGUUCUGAAAGGCAAGGCACACAUGUGGAAUUUCCCAGUGCGGAUGACCAUUAAGCCAAAUUUGGAAGGAAUCGCGGAACUGAUCUCAGCCAAGGAGACUGCAGAGAUGCCCCAGAAACCUGUAGAAGACUUGAGUGCUAAUGAUGUUUUCCUCCACUCCCAUCCAGAUUUGGAACAGGUAUGGGAACAAGCUCAGGAUGACUACUACUUGGACCUGCUUGAUACAGCCAUGAACAAACUCCCCCAAGACAUACGAGACCAGACACAAAACCAAAGCACAGCAGACAUCUUGGCUAUACAAACAAGACCUCAAGAACUCUCAAACCUACACAAUUCGACAAAGAUCUGCAAAUUCUCCAUACUCUAUGGCGCAAAUCUUACGACGGAAAACUUGGUCCAAAGGACAACUGUAUCAAUUUGUCUGCACAUAUGUGCAUAAAGGCACUGUUUAAGCCACAUAAGACUCUACUCACUGGUACAUUAACCUUUUUCUAUGUUAUAUACAUUCAAUUCAGUAUAAUAGUUCUUGCUUUCAAAGCACCAUGUAAUUGAAAAUAAUAGUCUACUUAAAAUGAUUCCUCAAAUAUACGAUUCUUCCACGACACUUCCUCAAAAACAUCUUUGGACUGUAUGUUCGAGUAUCAAAUAGCAAUAUUGUGGUAAUUGAUACACAAUCGGAAAGAGGGUAUAUGUGCAUUAACUUCAUUUUGGAAGAAACAUUGCAGGUUAUGGUUAUCUGAAAAAGCAAAUAAAACAGCUUGGGUCUAUGGUCCUCAAAUUCAAAUUAAGAAAGACUGAUGACCCUUUUUACUUCAAAGAGGACAAAGAGUUAAGAACACCCUGAAGCUGUCCGAGCAGCAAGCGGUAGUGGGGUUGACAGUUUAGAGGCCUGUAACAAGGACACAGGACAACACAAUUCCCUCAACAUCGAGGGGGGCACUUGGUGAUAGUGGGAGGAGGGAUAGUGUCCAUGUUCAAUCCUAUUUACAGGUGUGGCUCUCUAUACCUUUUCGCCUCACACAACAAUACAUUAUACAGUACAUUGUCUGAGUUUUAUUUCAUGCAAUUACACUGAAAAAGCACAAUGAAAAGGUACUUGCGUGUAAGGUCAAAGCAGCUGUUUUGUGACUAUUUUUCAGUGAUUAAGAAGCCUGUAUAUUAGAUCCAUACACAGAAACGGAAAAAACAAAAGUGCCCAGCAAACCUCAAACAACAUGACGGACUGAAGGGAAUGAAGAACUUGCUGGCAGGAAGAUUGCGAAGCUACCGGCAAACAAGGUCUUUGUCAGUCACAUAGUUACUGGUGGGGAUAGACACUUUUCAAGGGGGCUCAAUGCUGUGAUGAUGGAGGCAAGAGGGAAACGUACCAAACAUCUGAGACUUUGUACACACGAGCAGGAGCGUAGCCAAAGCUGUCCGCAAUGGAAAGUGGAGUCGACAAAUGUUCCCUGGUGCAACAGCUGUCAAAAGACACAAGGUUAAGUCUAGAUUUACGGAAGAGCUGCGUGUACGACUCCAUACUGAACAUGACAAUGUUUACUGAAGAUUUCAUUUCAUUUUUCUUUGUUUCUCAGGAAAUACCUUGAGGUUGAGCAUGAACGGAAGACAGGAAAGAAACUGUACACGUACGCGGGAUCAACGAAAAGCCGUUCCUGCCAUUGUUGGCAUGAAUGUCAUUGGGCCAUGUACGAACGAACUUUUUUUGGAAUUCGGGAGAGGUUAUUCCGCAAGGAUAGAAGUAGAUGCGGGGAAACAAUGGCAAAGAGCAUUUAAAACGCACGAAUAUGUCCAACGCACGAAGAUUCUCCAUCAGAUGUGGCAAAGUACAGCGAGUGGUUGAGAAGCAAAGUUCACAGAUUCAGGAAUAAAACAAACCCUGAUAUUUCACUUCAUUCAAAGACUCCAAACAAGCAUUUAACAAGUCAACAGCUCCUGGCCAAGACAGCAGACCUCAAGCGGGCAGAGAAGAACCUACAGAAGACCAUUGCUUCUGUAACAAAGAGAGGUCAAGAAGAAGGAUGCCAUGUAAACGAGCUUCUCUAACAAAGAGUCGUGUCGUGAAAGAAGUCGAGAAAGAAGGAUGCCAUGUAAACGAGCUUCUCUAACAAAGAGUCGUGUCGGGGAAGAAGUGAAGAAGGAAGGAUGCCAUGUGAACGAGCUUCUCUAACAAAAGAGUCGUAUCGGAUAAGAGGUUGUUUUAGACACUUGUCUUUCUGUUAUAUGUAGAACAUGAUGGUGUGACGGUAAGGGAUGCCCUUGUCUUUUCAAAACUGGAUGAGCUCGAGUACGAACCGCCGGGUGGAUGCCCAGUGUGGCAAAUGAUUAAGUUUAACUCGUGUGAAGAGGGAUGCAGCUGUUUCGCCAUGCAUGUUGACACUGAACCUUCCAGAACACAUGAACAGUCGGGCACAAGGGGAAUUCGGUAGCAGGAGUGAAGGUGGAGGGAGAGAGGGCGACAGAAGUGAAGACCGCUCCUCUAUGAGAGAGGAUAUGGCAACGAUUGCCUCCAGAAUAGUGGUAAAUCACAUGCCGUUUUACAACAAAUACUUCGAAGACUGUGUGGAACAUAUCACACAUACAUGUAUUCUAAACAGGCAAAGCUAAAAUCACACAUUAUGCCUUUAGGGAUCCUAGAGAAGAACGAAUCCAAACAUGACGACAUGAUAGCCAUAUUAGAGGAGUACCAAAAGUAUGUGCCACACGGGAUAAAGAUUCCAUUGGAAGGUGAUGGCCUGUCAAACAUGCGAGGUGUAGAAUCACAGGAUGCAAGAGCAGAUGGGGCAACUGCAGCAGACAGGCUGGAGGACCUUGAGCUUGUUACGGCAGAGUGGUAUGCACGUGUGGCAGCUUUACAAGAUGUAUACAAUGCUUAUUAUGACCCUAAAUCAGCCAGAGAAAAGCACACACUGUUUCAACUGAGGAACCGAUUUGAUCGAAGGAUUGUAACAAUGACUCAUUCAACCCAAAUCGAGAGUUUCUGAACUUUGUGUCCUCUGGGUACCUUAUCUUGGCAGUGAUGGAGAACCUCUCAACAUCCCUGUCCAUACAGGCCCGCGAGGAUUGACUCCUGUCAGCGUCCCUGUCCAUACAGGCCCGCGAGGAGAGACUCCUGUCAGCGUCCCUGUCCAUACAGGCCCGCGAGGAGAGACUCCUAUAAGCAUCCCUGUCCAUACAGGCCCGCGAGGAGAGAUUCCUAUUGGCUCGAUCAGCUGUAGCCCACGUUAUGGCAUAAUUAUUAUUAUUUUCAAUCAAAGAAAAGGUCGCCUCUGAAGGACGAAAAUCCAAAUCUACGAAAGCAGGUCUCUCCCUCGCGGAGAUCGACACAAGGACGUCGACCAUCAAGAUUUACCGCGACAGAGCAAAGGAAGGCAUCGUCUACUUGGUUGGAAAACACCAUUACACUUACGAGCCUGUUGGCCACCAUUCGACGAAAGGACAACCCUUGUAACAAAGUCAUUGACACAUUGAACAGAAGGUCCAAACUUAGUCUGGUAACAGUGGAUGGCCACGGUAUGAAAAAACGAGUUCCCAAGGUACAUGUACCAAAAUACUAAGGAAUAUGAACAGAGGGUCAACCGUCAGCAACAACUGGGUCCGACGUGGUUGGAAGGAGUGUGGGGUAUCCCUGAAACACGCAAACCAGCGGUUUGUGGAGCCGGAAAAUGUUCGGAAGGAACGAAUAAUCGAAUUCUUGGAACAUUAUCCAUGUCAGGAUGUACUUUGAGAAAACAAUGAAGGUAAAAGAUGUCAACAUCAUCACCAGGGACCAAAUGCCUCUCCACCGCAAUGUAACAGCCGCACAGUAAACGUUGACAUUAAAGGAAUGUCCCACCUACGUUAAAGAAAACUACAUCCUGUCAAGGGAGAGAGUGUCCAUCUUUACUCAAGCCUACAGCAAGACUGGCCUGACGAUGCGCCCACAGUUUGUGUUCAAGGGAAGAGCACAAUUCUCCAGGGUAGGCUGUAACGUCCAGGGAGUGUCUACGCACUAGAGACCUAAAGGGUCUUACAGGAUGGACACCAUGAAAACAACCAUCAAAACCCUUCCCAACUUGAAGGCCCAGAACAUAUUCAGCCCAAAAUAGUGGUCUAUCUACAUUCUGGAUUACUACUCAGUCCACGUAACAGAGGAGGUAGGGCGGGAUUUGCUGUUAGUGUUUAUGGGUGGGGCAUCCCAGGAGACGUACAAGUUAACGACACCCAACGACAUCAUAACCUCAAUGCUACAUACAGGCAGCGAGAGUCGGAGCUGAUGAUGCAGCAGCUUAGUGAUGACUCGCUGAAGAUCCUGUCUUACAAGGAUGACAUUAUGAGGAUGAUUAUUGACAGUUGGGCCUCCAUUGACAUUGGCAUCUCGGCUACAAACUCAACUGCCACGCAUUCGACCUCUUCCGCCAAUGAGCACUCCGCCCGACCCGACCCUGGCUUAUCACGUCUAGCGGAAAUGAGAGAACUGGAUAUAAGUGAGAAUGGGACUGGUGAUGUCUCUCGCCACCAUCCUCCACAUCUUCAGGAGUUGGACUUGCUAUGGACAAUGGCCGAUCACACCGUGGAUAUGACCCGCUUGCACCGUUAUCAUGAGCGACACGUGUCUGAUCUGAACAGCAUAAAUUGAGAGGCCCUUGAUGAACCAUGGUAAUAUUUGUAGGUGGGUUGGGGUCAGGACGACGAAUGUCAAGUUUUACAAUAGGUUUCUUAGCGGCUUUUUGAGCUGCAGUGGAAAUUCCGUUUUUGAUAUCUUCUAAAUCUUAUUUUCCAGGAUACUGAGCACCGCUAAGUUCACCAAGAAGACACAGAACAGUGCAACUGUCAGGGUGCCUGUAACUGUACCAUUGUAGUCUCCACUCCCAGCUCCUAUCAGUCCAGUCCGCCGGGGUUGCAAAACUACCACCUGUCAAGCACGAGCGUAUACCAGCCCAGUCCGCCAGGGUUGCAAAACUAUCACCUGUCAAGCACGAGCGUAUACCAGCCCAGUCCGCCGGGGUUGCAAAACUACCACCUGUCAAGCCCGAGCACAUACCAGCCCAGUCCGAAAGUGGCGAAAUUCCAUCUCUCCAGCCAGGCACAGUAUCAACCAGGUCCCGUCGCAGACCGUUAUGACCGUUACCUCCAUUAAUUACUGAUUUUGUUUACCCACAGUAUCACCGAUUUCCCAACUGGCAGCGCCCCUCACAAGCUUUACUUACAGAGAACUCCUGGGCACCUGCCUUGUUUCGGAGUCCUUUAUACACCUGCUUUCUCAUAAACGCGUUCUCCAUCGUCCAGACAACCAGGACGUCGUCCGGAUCCUUUCCGGUGACAGCCGAGUCCCGCAUCUAAAACAUAACGCUGUUACUAUCUACUCCUUGUGCACAAAUCACUACAUCCAUCUUUCAGCCGAAUGGAUCCGCCGAGACGAGAACGACAAGGCUGAUUAUUUAUCUAAGACCCACGAUGACUAUAAGUUGAACCCCACAGUCUUCGACAGUUCUCCUCUAGAUGGUGGAACCCACACGCACAAGCCACGGACGCAUUCACGACCACCUGGGAACGUCUCGUAGCCACAUAACGAAGUAUGUUCAGGAAUCGCUUCAGAACCGAGAAAUGGGAGUAAAGCCCUACGGGCGAUGUGUCCUCCUUGCUUAACAUUCUUUUUUUAUGCUACCCAGCUGUUCAAGUCCAGGCUAUGAGUCGCUAUUGAGGUGCUAAAAGAAGAAGAGUACGAGUUCCUCCGACAAUCAGGACAGAUCUACAUGUUGGGUGAAGAGAGCGACGAGAAAGACAAGUCCGUCAUCUGGGUGAAGCAACCUUCGUGGCCUGCACCCAGACUGACGGACAUGGUCCUGAAGUGCCAGGUAGACGGACCAAAACCGGAGAAAGGACCUGGAUUUCAGACAGCCUCCAAGAGACAGGACUUGGUGCCGAGAUCUACAACUGGACGCCUGAGACUGACGACGGCAUGGGCAAUGAAAAUGGACAGGUGCAGGAAAACGAGGAGUUCGUUGACAAUGAAGAUGGACAGGUGCAGGAUGACAACGAGUUCCGUGGUUCUGAGUCAAGUUGAUACAGCAGUGAAGAAAAAGAUGUCAGCAGCAUAAAAACACUCGUACCACUUUGUCAAUGACAAAGAAAUCAUGGUGCUCUUUGACGGAAAAGUAUGUACAAUUGAUAAGUGUGGUAAACCACUACUGAUAACUAAAAACUCGGCCAUAACGAUAAAAUACGAAUGUCCAAACGUGCCAUGUGGGAGUCCGAUCAUAAGCUCAUGUUGGGAGCAGCAUUAUGUUUGAAGGGAACGUUCUCCUCCCUGAUGCUAUCUUAUUUGCAGAACUUUCAAGACGUUUUCUGACAUUGAAAAUGCAAUGAACCUGUAGUGCUCCGGAGAAACACAUUUCUACCACGUCCAGUGGACCUACCUGCUAAAAUCUGUCUGGACUACAGAGAUGCCAGGGGACCUGCAUGCGGCAGGGAAAAGGACCGACAUGACACAGCACGAAGACACAUUGGUGAAGCUCUGGAACCGGGGCAUGAAUAACACCUCCUCAAAUGAUGCAGGAUGCUGCCAUGCUGACUGGAUUUAAAAGGAAGCAAAUCAAGGCUAGUAAUACUGUACCUAUAUUCUUUCUUUGGCACAGCUUAUCAUUGCAUUUCAGAAUGCAUAGCAGAAUUGUACUAUCGCUGCAUGUCAGUACAUGCAGGAUAGGAAGUUCAUAUUGUCAAAUGAUUACUUUUCAGGAUUGGAUAUGUAAGAGGAGACAAAAAGACAAACAUGGCAUGCAGCACACAAGACCUAAAGUAAAGCCAAAGGUAUCGAAAAGGCAGAGGUCAGGCCUUGACUGCUUCUUAAGUGACAGGAUGAAAGAACAUCUGGUCAAUACCGAGUCUGGGAACCAGGACCCACACAAACCCAUACAUAACGAAGGUCCACAAGAUCGUCAAUGAGAGGUGCAGGAAGGUUCGAUACAAUGCUGCACACCCAAAGGAGAAAGGUGAGAAAAAACUUUGCUUUUAUACUAAUCUGACUUUUUGGACAAGAGGCUAUAAUAUUGCAAGAAAUGUUCGGCAUCUUUAAAUCUAUACAACUUUAAGUUUUUGUAAACUCCCUUUUGUUUUUCUGUUUUUUUACAGGUCAUCAGUCUAUGCACUACAGCUCACAC
Branchiostoma floridae (Florida lancelet) is the source of this 8587-nucleotide long non-coding RNA. RefSeq lists it as uncharacterized. The transcript is spliced from 3 exons. NCBI's taxonomy places the organism in Eukaryota, Metazoa, Chordata, Leptocardii, Amphioxiformes, Branchiostomatidae. The record is from RefSeq and is a predicted model, not a curated record.